RNAcentral lists this ribosomal RNA (429 nucleotides) under Bacteroidota bacterium. RNAcentral's name for it is "Bacteroidetes bacterium partial 16S ribosomal RNA". It matches the Rfam family "Bacterial small subunit ribosomal RNA", at positions 355 to 776 of the family's 1533-position model. The record is from RNAcentral. Lineage: Bacteria; Pseudomonadati; Bacteroidota.
UAGGGAAUCUUCCGCAAUGGACGCAAGUCUGACGGAGCAACGCCGCGUGAGUGAAGAAGGAUUUCGGUUCGUAAAACUCUGUUGUUAGAGAAGAACAGCGCAUAGAGUAACUGUUAUGCGUGUGACGGUAUCUAACCAGAAAGCCACGGCUAACUACGUGCCAGCAGCCGCGGUAAUACGUAGGUGGCAAGCGUUGUCCGGAUUUAUUGGGCGUAAAGCGAGCGCAGGCGGUCAAUUAAGUCUGAUGUGAAAGCCCCCGGCUCAACCGGGGAGGGUCAUUUGAAACUGGUUGACUUGAGUGCAGAAGAGGAGUGUGGAAUUCCAUGUGUAGCGGUGAAAUGCGUAGAUAUAUGGAGGAACACCAGUGGCGAAGGCGACUCUCUGGUCUGUAACUGACGCUGAGGCUCGAAAGCGUGGGUAGCAAACAGG